RNAcentral lists this long non-coding RNA (1130 nucleotides) under Sinocyclocheilus grahami. RNAcentral's name for it is "lncRNA (ENSSGRG00000048899.1)". The record is from RNAcentral. Lineage: Eukaryota; Metazoa; Chordata; Actinopteri; Cypriniformes; Cyprinidae.
ACCGUGCUUGAGAAAUGUAUUGCUCUAUCCAACUUUUAGAAAUGGGAAAUAUCCAAAUCCCCAGUGGUGCACCAGACUGUGUGUUUAGCGGACGAGGUGUCAAGGAAGAGGGAGCUGUUUGAGAAAGAACAGGAGGGAUCCGACAGGAGCCAUGUGUUCUCCAAACAGGAAUUUCGCAGCUUUUCUUCGGGAAUCUCUGAUCGAAUUAAUCGCUGGGUUCAGAAGAAAACAUUUACCGUGUCAUCACCAUCAUCACCAUCACCAUCAUCAUCCUCAUCUCAUAGUCCUUUGGAUCUGAGACAUGUGAACAUCUCCAUUAAGAAAAGUUUGUUUGAAAGAGGACAAGACCAGGACCACAAGUGACACUCUCAUGGAUAAAGACAAACUUUAAUGAGAUUCAUAAUGCAUCUCUGCAGAGUCUGAAGAUUUUGAAGGAAGCUUGAUCGACACUUUCAGACAGUCAGUGCCAAGGAUUGUCUCUAAACUCCCUUUCUGUCUGCUACUUUACAUUGGCUAAUUCCUCAGCACUUUUAAGGCAUAGUACUGAUCUACAUUAUUUGGGUAUAUUCAAGGCUUACAUUAUUGGUUGUGCAUGUGUGUACUAAUGGAUUGUGGAAUGCAACAGGACUGUAUUAUAGGGUCUUAACACAGAAACUGAACAUCACAGAGUUUAUCUGACAGCAGGAAUACAAACAUACAGUUUCUUUGUAUUGGUGCCAGACACUCCUCUGCCUUGUAGCUUGAUAUUUGUGCAGUUGAUAAGUAAGUUAUUAGGAGAAAGAGGCAUAAUCUGUCACCUCAGCCAUAACUCAUAACAGUCCAAGGUACAACUGUAAUAUCAUGAAUGUCUGUUUCAAUGAACCUACUCUAAAUAAACUUGAUGAUUCAUUUGUAAUGAAGCGGGAAUCAUGCGCUGAAGCUGACCUAUGCUCUCAAUGCUGUUGUUUCAACUUGCCGGAGACUUAAGUCAUAAUAAGGAAAUGUAAUUUAGAUGUAAUCUAAAUGGCAAAAUGUGUUCUAUCAAGCCCUUUGAAAACUGACUUCAAUCCAUUCCAACUCAAUCAAAGCCUACGUUUUUUUUUUUUUUUUUUUUUUUGCUGAACGACCUGUCAUGUAAUAAUCUUUUCUGC